RNAcentral lists this long non-coding RNA (866 nucleotides) under Manihot esculenta (cassava). RNAcentral describes it as "long non-coding RNA (MESC_LNC011785)". The record is from RNAcentral. Lineage: Eukaryota; Viridiplantae; Streptophyta; Magnoliopsida; Malpighiales; Euphorbiaceae.
UCUAAAUAGGCAUCAACAUCAGCCUUACCAUUGAAGCUUGGAAUCUUCAUCUUUAUGGAGUUCAUAUUGUUAUCUACAUAGGGUACACGAUCAUUGAACCUUCUGGCUCGGAAAGGGGCUGAUUGUGCCACAUUUUCCUCUUCAUAGGAUGGAUCGUGUGUAUCAUCAUCCCCCUGAUUGGACUUGCCCUUUGAAGAUCUAAGGUUGUCCUCAAGGUUAUCCAUUCUCAAAUUUAGCUUCUGAAAGCUAUCCAUGAAAGCUUUAUACAUAUCUUUAAGAUCAAACGUAGGGUCAGAAGUAUCACCAGUAUUAUGCUCAGACAUUAUAGAAAAAUUCACAAUUCUCUCAACUCACUUGUUUAACUUUCAAGCACUCACUUGGUAUCUCAAAAGUACACUUCAGAAUAAAGACUCAAUAAGCCAAGUUUGUAUGAUUCAAAUAAUAAGGAAAGCAAGGAAAGACCUAACAAGAAAAGAUAGGAAACAACACUAGAUGCAAACUGACCAAAAUGAACAAACAGAUUGAUUUAGCACACAAAAGUGAAAUUUCGUGUACUAAGUGUAAUUAGAUGUUCAACAAUGUGCAAUUUGUCAAACUAAGUGUAAGGAACCAACAAACAGAAAGACACCAAAUUGACAAACUAAGAAUAAAAAAUUAACAAGACGGAUGUGCUUAACACGAAGUUAUCCCUAAGCAUGCAAUCCUAGGUUAACUGAUCUUAAUAUUGACUCAACAAAAACAAUUCAAAGCAAGCAAACAAAAAAGACACUUAAAACAGCAAGUAUUAAGUAAAACUAUUUUUGUGAAAAUACUACCCAAAUUUGCCCUAAACCUACCCCAAACAUGUAUUUCGAAUCCCAAACCCU